This 252-nucleotide RNase MRP RNA is filed under the name Trifolium pratense (red clover). Its description in RNAcentral is "SRP RNA RNase_MRP". It matches the Rfam family "RNase MRP". From Rfam's summary of the family: RNase MRP is an enzymatically active ribonucleoprotein with two distinct roles in eukaryotes. In mitochondria it plays a direct role in the initiation of mitochondrial DNA replication. In the nucleus it is involved in precursor rRNA processing, where it cleaves the internal transcribed spacer 1 between 18S and 5.8S rRNAs. The record is from RNAcentral. Lineage: Eukaryota; Viridiplantae; Streptophyta; Magnoliopsida; Fabales; Fabaceae.
UUGGAUCAUGAAGUGGUGUGAAUGGGUCCUUGCUAUAAGCUGGGCUCAGGAAAGUCCCCGGGCCCGAACUGCAGAAAUGUAGGCCCGGUAACGGGUAAAUCUUCAAGUUGGGCUUGUCUCGUGCUUCGGUGUGAGGGGCUGAGACACGUAUGUGGAGCCCAUGCAAGUUCAAUAGAAGAAAAUUGGCCAAUUUGUACAGUCAUUCACAAGGUCCGUGUGACUAACAGAACGGGGCUUAUACUUCAUGAUCCA